Cyprinus carpio (common carp) is the source of this 260-nucleotide long non-coding RNA. RefSeq lists it as uncharacterized. The transcript is spliced from 3 exons. NCBI's taxonomy places the organism in Eukaryota, Metazoa, Chordata, Actinopteri, Cypriniformes, Cyprinidae. The record is from RefSeq and is a predicted model, not a curated record.
AUUACUAUCCAGACGGGUUUUUCCUGUCCCUUCUACAUGUGAUUCUUCACAAGAUGCGAUCAUUUUGUUAAAUAAUUUGAAAACUCUUUUUCUCAGGCAUUGAAGUUUUCGUGAGGUCACGAGGCGAUACAAUCCUCAGCUUAUCUCAGGCCCCCGGAGCUGAAACCACUGUGGCCAGAAAGGUCAACGCCUCCCCCUUGUGUCAGCUGUUUGGACUCUCAUUCUGAUGGCACCCAUUCACUGCAGAGAUGGAUUGGUGA